Molecule: long non-coding RNA, 5181 nt
Organism: Haemorhous mexicanus (house finch)
Lineage: Eukaryota; Metazoa; Chordata; Aves; Passeriformes; Fringillidae
Exons: 3
Source: RefSeq, a predicted model, not a curated record
CAUCUUGUUAAACUAGUUUCAAUUAUAUAUGUUCAGCAUUUAAAGAGCUACUAAAAAAAAUAACUGCUCUGCACAAGGGAGUCUUAAGUGAAAUGUAAUUAUGAAAAUAUAUUGGAAAGUCAGAUGUGAAGCUGCAACUCAUUCCUGCCAUGGAGACACAGAAUAUGCUGGACACCACCAUCGCCAGAGAUGCCAUCAGUACUAGAGCUCUUCUGUUACGCUUAGUAUGGAAAUGAAGGAUUCAGCCUGCAUUAUUACUGUAUGGAAACUGAGCUGAUGCAUUCAGUGAAGAAACUGGAGCUUGAAAACUUCAGCAGACAAACAGCCUCUACAUCUCCCAAAUAAAGUCUCUCCAAACAAGAAUUCGACAGAGCAUUUUUCCAUAAUAAGCAUCUCUCAUGUUCCUGAGGUGCUCAGGAGCCCACAGGUCUUGUAAACUGUUCCUGGUUCCAGGAAAUAAGAUUUGACCUACCAGCCUUCACCCCUGUCAGUCACAGCAAGGCUUGGCACACGCCGUAUGCCACAGAGCGCAGUCUUUCAUUAUUAGCUGUCCAUGCAAACACUUAUGGACGGGGUCACUGGAGGAGCAGCUACUGGGGACAAGAGCUACUUGAGAUAAUUUUCCCUUGAGAAGAUUAGGAGUUGAUAACCCAAGCAACUGUGAGUAGAACUGACUUUGGAGCAGAGGCAGCCAUCUGUCAGUGACCUGAAGAUGCCCCUCAUUUAGCUAACCCUGUUGCCCUUCAUACAAUGAGAAGUGACCAAAAAUUUCAAUAGUAACAGCAUAUAGAAAUUUUAUGUUUGACACCAAAUACCAAUUGCCUGGUCAGUAAGACUAAAAAGAAACAUAAUAAACUAGAAAUAUAUUUGUUUAUUAACCCUGUGGUCAGAAAAUGGUUGCCCAUAUCAGAUGUGUGUCACUCUUGGAGGAUACUGAGGACCCAUGUGUAAAAUUCUGCAUCCUAAUAAUAGCAAUUCACAGCAAAGAUUUUAAUUUUUGUUUUUUAACCCAAGCAUUUACAGGGAAACAAAAUAAAGGUCAUAAUAAAUGAAAGUUUAAAAGUUAGAAGUUCAAAGAAGGCAAGGAAGAAAGGAAAAAAAUUAUGGGUAUAGCCAACAAUUACAGUACCAUGUGAAGAAUGUAGUUAAAUGCAAAGCUUACUGUGCUUUUAAAUAGCCCAAAAUAAACAGAUGUACAAGGCCAUUUCCAGUUUUGAUAAUUUCCUUAAACAUGUCUCUUUUACUGACUCACAGGAGUAAUUUGAGGACAACACUUUUGAGAGAUGAUCCUGUGGAAACACCUCCCUCAUGCUGUUGCUUGCCAUAUAUUUCAGAUAUAAAAGCAAAGCCACAUGACAAUUACACCUUCUUUGAGCAUUAGUUUACAUUAAAAUUCCCUUUCCUUGAGACUACUGCUCUUACAUUUUUAUGAUUUAGAUGUUUAAACUUGAUUAGAUCUAGCAAUGACUGCUUGCAACAACAAGCAAAUGCCAAGAAAAGGUAAAAAGUACUUACAGCUGUGAUGGGUAUCAUCAAACAACUCAAACAUCUAUAGAAUUUAAUGGCAUUAUUAAAAGCUGGUAUUUGUAGUGAUACACCAACAAGAAAGUACAUUGUGUUUCUAGCGCUGAUCUUAACUUUCCCUCUUUAGAAAAAUACAGCUUCCCUGUAAAACCUUUGUUUUUGGUUUCUAGUCCUUCACAAUCAACGGAGAGACCGGCUUUUCCAGAAGGUGUUCAGAAGGUAUCCACAUACCACAGUACUCCUACAGCCCUUUUUUUCUCUGCUAAUUGAAGAGGCAGCACACAAAAGUGCUUAUUUGAAUUCUUUCCCCAAACUCAUUUUCUGAACUUAACCAGUACCCUGUGACCCCUGCUGACAGAUGGGUUAUGUCAGGACAAGAACUCUGGUAUCUUGAGCUCCCAGAAGGCAGUGAUAAGUAUCUUUCCUGUCCACUGGAUUAGGCUAAGGACUCAAUGAGUUCAGACACAGCAGUGGUGAGCCUUCUUGGCAAGAUGGGGCUUCCUGAGCAAAGGCAGUGGGGAAAGGCCAGAACACAGGAAAAGAAAAGCACUAUGAUGGUUAGGAGAUGAUCCCCCAAAAAGAAGAAAAGGGGGGGGGGGGGGUGGAAACACAUGCCAUGCUUCCAGUUAGGGUGCAGGCUAGACCACAAUCUGAGCUCAGUGUCUACAAAUGACCUUCACAGAGGUCUAAGGUAUAUUUACAUGUUCAGUGCAGUCAAUAUUUAGGUUUUUUAAUCUACUGCCAAACCAGCUCCGGAACUGAAACAGUGCAGCAGCAUCUCCCAGGGGAGCUGCAGAGGGGACACUGUAAUUAGUCUGGACACAACCCCAUCCUGCAGCAGCAGUGCUCUCCAGGUGCCCCUGCACUGGGGCCACAUUAGGGCGUUGAACCACAUUGAUUUCUCUUGGAGGCUUCAGCCAGGAUGAUGCAGAGUGCUUGGCAAACAUCGGCAGCUUUCAGCUGGGUGAAGAAAUAUUGGAUGUUGACUUUUCAUUUACACAGUUCAGGAAAAAAAUGUCGUGGGAUAUUUAAAUAGGCUAAAUACUCGGGAGAUUUCAUCUGUGUCUGACUGUUGAUUGUGCAUGCUACAGAAACCUCAGCUUUGCCUCUGAUGACAAACAGCAUGCAAGGAAUGGGGAGGUUACAAGCCAGCUUCCCAUGAUUGCAAGAGAAGAAAAAAAAAAGGAAAAAUUAGAUGUUACUUUUCAAAAUAAUGUUUCCCUUUUAAUCAGAGAAUUACAGUUCUGUACAGUUAAGAUACAAACCCAAGGCAAACCUAACCAAUACCUCCUCAGCUCAGGGAAGUGAGAGGAAGACUAGAUUUAAAAUAAAGACACCCGAAAAUAUGAGUUUCUGUUCUAACUCCACUGUGUUCAUCUUUCUGCAGUAGCAGAACUUUUUAGGUUAAAAAAACAAAAAGGCAUAACAGGCUCCUGUGUCAAUGUCAAGGGUAGUCCAGUUUCACUGUUUGCACUAGCUCAGGUUUCUAGGUUGAAUUUUCUGUAGUUCAUUUCUGGUAUUUCUAAAAGAAUCUGAAAGAGGUUGCAUCAGCUUUUAAGGAGCUGUACCUGUUGCUCUGGAUCUAUGUAUGUUGCAAAAUUCUUUGAUGUUUAUUUUAACUACUCUCAAAAUUCAACUUGCCUUCUACAGCAGAUUUCUUUAUUCCAGAAGUAACAUUAAGUCUUUAAAUAGAUACUUUUACCAACUUCUGAACAGCAGCAUGUCUCAGGCUCCUCACUUGCUUACAUUGGUCUCCACGAACUGCUGGAACAGAGCACGGAUACCUCUGAGGGAGCACAAAUUCAGAGUGGUUGGUGAUGCCACCACACCAGUGCUAAGCAGUGUCUGAACUACCAGGUGAUGUCUGAACUACUACAUGAUGGGGUGCAGCGUUUCUGUGCUGCAACUGCCUUGAUUUUGGCUCCAAACACAGCUCUGUGCGAAGGCACUGUUUAUGAACAGAGGAGUUUGAGUUGGCACUGUUCAAGUCUCUCCUGUGCCAUCGCUCAGUGUCUGCUGCAGGCCCAUCCGCUGUGACUUAGAAGCCCAAAUUCCACAGACAUCUAAUGAGACUGUUUCUGACAUUACUAAAGGCUUCAUUUUGCUAUGACAAACACUCAUCUUCUGCCCAGAUCAGACAAGUUACAGGCACACAUGAGGAACCACAACAGCACAUUUCAGGGUACUUCUUCCGUGUCCCUUCUUCUCUUAGCUGCUAAUGUGGUUGGUCACCAACAGUCUUCAUGUCUCUGAAUAUAAUUAAAAUACAUAAUAAAACAGUAUAAUAACAAAAAUAUACAAUAAUACAAAAUAGUUCCAUUUUAAAAAGCUAGCAAUUAAAAAUAGAAGCUAGCCUUAUAAGAGAAUAGGCAGGGGUGGGACUGCAGGCAGGGAGAGACAGAUCUCCAGACCUCUGCAGCACGGGCAGCAGGGCUCCAGAGUUACACCUGGCAGCUGUGCAAUUUCCAGAGCAACAGAGGAUGCUCAUAAGUAGCUGACAAGAGGCUUAACCUCUGGGGCAUUGAUCAUGUUAAAUACUGUAAUGUGGGCUCCAUACACUUGUACUUCAGCACAAAACUCCUGCAGAAGCAUCUCUCUCCUUUUCUGUGCCUCUAUGCUCUGCUGUUCACUUGUUAAGAUUUUCACCAAACACAGGUAGUAAAUUUUCACCAUCAUUUAUAAUGCUCAUGCCUGGAGGGCUUUGCUAAGAGCAACUUGUUUUGUUCUUGUGUCUUCUCCUCUGUGCUAAUAACCUCAUAGUUAUAGCCCAAUUAAUAACCUCAUAGUUACAGCACAGCUGUAUCAGCUGAAAUACAGCUCCAGCAGAAGAGUGGUAUUAAUGGAUUCCCCCCAUUUCACACAAUGGGAAAAGAAUAUUUUAAAAAAUGAAUAUAAUGUCAGAAUAUAAUUUUUCACAUCAGCUCUACUUCUACUUUGCAGUAUCAGAAUGACCAAGUGCCUCCAGCUGAGAUGUCACUGAACCACAGAUAAAGACAAAAGCUGAGAACCCUCAGGUUUUUCUGGCCUCUGAAAAUGUCAGAUUCUGCACACUAAGCCUUGAACAUCUAACCUUGCUUCAUUCCUGAGGAGACAGCUUUAUGAUCUCAUUAAAAGAAUUGUUUUGUUUGGAAAGCUUGUUAGCCUUCCAGAUAGAGUCAGCUUAGCUGAAACCCUAUCUAUCAAAGUUUUAUUUGAUUUCAAAAAAGAUAGACCAAAUAAAAAGGCCAGGCAAACACCAGCCAAAUAAGAAGACUUACAUACUCAGGGUUCCCAGGCACUCUCUUUGUUUUCUUUGGAUUUAAAGUCAUGAUUAUUCAUUACUAUUUUUAGCACCAUCCAUAUGUUUCUCUGAAUAUUAAAGAAACUAGCAGCAUCACAUUUCCUACAAGGAAAGGAAAGUCAUACAAUACAGCACCUCAGCCUAUUUCCUAGUAUGGAAAGAGUGAGUCCAAGUGAGUGAAUAAUACCCCCUGUGAAGUUUGCAGGUACUGUGCCUUGACCAGACCUGUUCAGGUACAAGCUGGCAUAGAAUUGGCCCCAAGUAUCUUCAUUCCUGGGCCAUUGAUCAAAAGGCACAGUUUUGGGUCAGCAGCACCAGCUCCCCACCCACUGAUUUCUCAGGGAAGAGCUGCAGCUUCCUCCUUCAUAAAAAGAAAA